CUUUGAGAAGUUGUCGGAUGAGCUGUGGUUAGGAGCGAAAGACUAAUCAAACCCCCUGAUAGCUGGUUCUUUCCGAAAUAUAUUUGGGUAUAGCGUCGGAUGCUGAUGAGUGGAGGUAGAGCACUAAAUAAGCUAGGGCCCCUACCGGGGUACUGAACUUAAUUAAACUCCGAAUACCAUUCAAUGAAGUCCGGCAGUCAGACGGUGGGGGCUAACCUCCAUCGUCGAGAGGAGAAUAAUCCAGACCUUCAGUUAAGGUCCCAAAAUAUGGCUCAGUGUAAAAGGAUGUGAAUUUACUUAGACAAUGGGGAUGUUGGCUUAGAGGCAGCCAUCAUUUAAACAGUGCGUAACAGCUGACCCAUCGAGUGAAUUUGCGCCGAAAAUGAUCGGGACUUAAGCCAUAUACCGAAGCUAUGGGUGCACAGCAAUGUGCGCAGUAGGAAAGCGUUCCAAGUGCAGCGAAGCGGAAGGGGCAACCAACCGUGGAGCGCUUGGAAGUGAGAAUGCAGACAUAAGUAACGAUAAAGAUGGUUAAAUUCCAUCUCGCCGUAAGGAUAAGGUUUCCUGGGGAAGGUUCGUCCUCCCAGGGUUAGUCGGGAGCUAAGACGAGGCCGUAAGGAAUAGUCGAUGCACAGCAGGUUAAUAUUCCUGCACCGAUCCAUAACUAUCCUGUAAUUGACGGAGCGACGAAUCCAACAGACCCUUUUGACAAGGCACUGCGAAGCUACGGCUUAGUGGGAGUUGGUGAAGGAGCUUCCAAGAAAAUUUUACAGGGAACUAUGUGGAGCGCCCGUACCGCAAACCGACACAGGUAUCCGUGAUGAGUAUUCUAAGGCGCGCGAGUUAAAUCUCUCUAAGGAACUCGGCAAAUUGAUCCCGUAUCUUUGGUAUAAGGGAUGCCUCCGCAAGGAGGUCGCAGAUAAGAGCGUCAACCGACUGUUUAGCAAAAACACAGCUCUCUGCUAAGUCGAAAGACGAUGUAUAGGGAGUGACACGUGACCAAUGCGGAAAGGUGAAAGCGUAGGGUGCAAGCUCUGCGUCUAAGCCCCCGUGAAUGUCGGCCGUAACUAUAACGGUCCUAAGGUAGCGAAAUUCCUUGUCGGGUAAGUUCCGACCCGCACGAAUCGUGUAACGAGUUGACGACUGUCUCGGAGAGAGGCUCGGUGAAAUUGUAGUGGCGGUGAAGAUGCCGCCUACCCGCAGCAGGACGGAAAGACCCUAUGCACCUUUACUGUAAGCUGUUAUUGUCGCUUGAUUUUCAAUGCGUAGAAUAGGUGGGAGACUUUGAAGCCUUGUUCCAGGAUAGGGCUGAGUCGAAAUAUGAAAUACCACUCUUUGUUGAUUAGGCGUCUAACCUCGAGCCAUUAACUGGCCGUGGGACAGUGAUAGCAGGUCAGUUUUUCUGGGGCGGAAUCCUCCCAAAGAGUAACGGAGGAUUACGAAGGUUCCCUCGGCCCGGCC
RNAcentral lists this ribosomal RNA (1461 nucleotides) under metagenome. RNAcentral describes it as "bacterial LSU rRNA". It matches the Rfam family "Bacterial large subunit ribosomal RNA", at positions 787 to 2332 of the family's 2925-position model. The record is from RNAcentral.